GUAGAAAUGGUUCUUAGGAAAAUCCGGGAACCUCUAUUUCAAGGCGUGAUAACGAGUCCUCUUUUGGACGAAGUGAGUGAUACCAUGCUUCCAGGAAAAUCCUCUAAGCUAUAGGUUAUAUGAAACCGUACCCCAAACCGACACAGGUGGACGAGAUGAGAAUUCUAAGGCGCUUGAGAGAACUCGGGUGAAGGAACUAGGCAAAAUGACACCGUAACUUCGGGAGAAGGUGUGCUCUUUGUAGGUGAUAUCACUAGCUGAUAAAGCUGAAAAGAGUUGAAGAAACCAGGUGGCUCCGACUGUUUAUUAAAAACACAGCACUCUGCAAACACGUAAGUGGACGUAUAGGGUGUGACGCCUGCCCGGUGCUUGAAGGUUAAUUGAUGAGGUUAGGAUUCGUCCGAAGCUUUUGAUCGAAGCCCAAGUAAACGGCGGCCGUAACUAUAACGGUCCUAAGGUAGCGAAAUUCCUUGUCGGGUAAGUUCCGACCUGCACGAAUGGCGUAACGAGGGCCACACUGUCUCCACCCGAGACUCAGUGAAAUUGAAAUUGCUGUUAAGAUGCAGUAUACCCGCGGCCAGACGGAAAGACCCCGUGCACCUUUACUACAGCUUUGCAUUGAACUCUGAUCCUACCUGUGUAGGAUAGGUGGGAGACUAUGAAACUUUAACGCUAGUUAGAGUGGAGUCAUCCUUGAAAUACCACCCUGGUAUGGUUGGGGUUCUAACCUAGGUCCGUUAUCCGGAUUGGGGACAAUGCAUGGUGGGUAGUUUGACUGGGGCGGUCUCCUCCCAAAGAGUAACGGAGGAGCGCAAAGGUACCCUCAGCACGGUCGGACAUCGUGCAAUGAGCGCAAAGGUAAAAGGGUGCUUGACUGCGAGACUGACACGUCGAGCAGGUAGGAAACUAGGUCUUAGUGAUCCGGUGGUUCUGAGUGGAAGGACCAUCGCUCAACGGAUAAAAGGUACGCCGGGGAUAACAGGCUGAUACCGCCCAAGAGUUCACAUCGACGGCGGUGUUUGGCACCUCGAUGUCGGCUCAUCACAUCCUGGGGCUGAAGCAGGUCCCAAGGGUAUGGCUGUUCGCCAUUUAAAGUGGUACGCGAGCUGGGUUUAGAACGUCGUGAGACAGUUCGGUCCCUAUCUACCGUGGGCGUUGGAGACUUGAGGGAAGCUGUUCUUAGUACGAGAGGACCGGAAUGGACACACCUCUGGUGUUUCGGUUAUGACGCCAGUCGUAUUGCCGAGUAGCUAUGUGUGGAAAGGAUAACCGCUGAAAGCAUCUAAGCGGGAAGCCCCUCCCAAGAUUAGGUCUCCCUGACAGUUUAACUGUCCUAAAGAUCCCUCGGAGACUACGAGGUUGAUAGGCACGGUGUGGAAGAGUAGUGAUACUUGAAGCUAACGUGUACUAAUUGAUCGUGAGGCUUGACCAU
Molecule: ribosomal RNA, 1432 nt
Filed under: uncultured Candidatus Thioglobus sp.
Lineage: Bacteria; Pseudomonadati; Pseudomonadota; Gammaproteobacteria; Pseudothioglobaceae (SeqCode)
Description: bacterial LSU rRNA
Rfam family: Bacterial large subunit ribosomal RNA
Source: RNAcentral